RNAcentral lists this ribosomal RNA (522 nucleotides) under uncultured eukaryote. RNAcentral's name for it is "eukaryotic LSU rRNA". It matches the Rfam family "Eukaryotic large subunit ribosomal RNA", at positions 949 to 1464 of the family's 3401-position model. The record is from RNAcentral.
AGCUGGUUCCCUCCGAAGUUUCCCUCAGGAUAGCUGGAACUUUUUAUAGAAUAGUUUUUAUCAGGUAAAGCGAAUGAUUAGAAGCUCUGGGGAUGAAACAUCCUCGACUUAUUCUCAAACUUUAAAUAGGUAAGAAGAUUGCAGUACUUAAUUGACUGUCAGUCUCUUGAAUAGUAAGUUCUUAGUGGGCCAUUUUUGGUAAGCAGAACUGGCGAUGUGGGAUGAACCAAACGUAAAGUUAAAGUGCCUAAAAAAUACGUUCAUCAGAUACCACAAAAGGUGUUGAUUCAUCUUGACAGUUGGACAGUGGCCAUGGAAGUCGGAAUCUGCUAAGGAGUGUGUAACAACUCACCAACCGAAUGAAUUAGCCCUGAAAAUGGAUGGCGCUUAAACGUAUUACUUAUACUUUACCAUUAAAGUAAAUGCUAAACUUUAAUGAGUAGGAGGGCGUAUGGAUAAUUUAGAAGACUGGCAGUAAUGCUGGUUGGAAUUAUCUUUAGUGCAGAUCUUGGUGGUAGUAGC